CAGAUUGAAUCUCUGGAGCGUUGGAAUGACUGGAAAUGAAAGUGAACACCCACCAUCAACUGUUGCACAUUCAUCAACAUAUCCAUGUGGUCCCCAGGGGUGACAGGACAUCAAUACUGACCUGGAAUCAGCAGCAUGGAUCUACUACUAUGCUGUUAACUCUCUGCAGUGCAGCUCAAGUAAAAUGCAACGAGAGACAAUUCAGUGUGAGGUGUGCCGCUGGAAAUGUGGCAGACACAAGGAAAACCUCAUUAGGGUUACAGCUCGGUAAAGCCUACUUUACAUUGCUGAAUGUUUUAACAAAUCAUCUCUCCUCCUAACCCACUGUCUUUUAUUUAUUAUA
Notolabrus celidotus (New Zealand spotty) is the source of this 343-nucleotide long non-coding RNA. RefSeq lists it as uncharacterized. The transcript is spliced from 3 exons. The record is from RefSeq and is a predicted model, not a curated record. NCBI's taxonomy places the organism in Eukaryota, Metazoa, Chordata, Actinopteri, Labriformes, Labridae.